This 506-nucleotide ribosomal RNA is filed under the name Epistaurus meridionalis. RNAcentral's name for it is "partial 16S ribosomal RNA". It matches the Rfam family "Archaeal large subunit ribosomal RNA", at positions 1917 to 2666 of the family's 2987-position model. Lineage: Eukaryota; Metazoa; Arthropoda; Insecta; Orthoptera; Acrididae. The record is from RNAcentral.
GUCUUCUUGAUUAUACUUUGAAGUCUGUCCUGCUCACUGAUAAUUAAUUAAAGAGCCGCGGUACUUUGACCGUGCGAAGGUAGCAUAAUAAUUAGUCUCUUAAUUAGGGGCUUGUAUGAAUGGAUUGACGAGAAAUAUACUGUCUCUUAAUAAAUAAUAAAAUUUAACUUUUGAGUUAAAAGGCUUAAAUUAACCUUAAGGACGAGAAGACCCUAUAGAGCUUUACAUAUUAUUUUAAUAUAUCUUUUGGUUUAUCUUUUUAUAUUAAUUGCUUAUGUUUUGUUGGGGUGACAUGAAGAAUAAAUAAACUCUUCAUUAUAAAAUCAUUAGUUUAUGUUUAGUUGAUCCAUAAUUUAUGAUCAUAAGAUAAAGUUACCUUAGGGAUAACAGCGUAAUCAUUUUUUAGAGAUCAAAUCGACAAAAUGGAUUGCGACCUCGAUGUUGGAUUAGGAUAAGUUUUGGGUGCAGAAGCUUAAAAAUUAGGUCUGUUCGACCUUUAAAUUCCU